AUACGGAGGAUCCAAGCGUUAUCCGGAUUCAUUGGGUUUAAAGGGUGCGCAGGCGGCCGUGCAAGUCAGCGGUGAAAGCCCGGGGCUCAACCCCGGAAGUGCCGUUGAUACUGCAUGGCUGGAAUGCGGUCGAGGCGGGCGGAACGGGGCGUGGUGCGGGGGAAUGCGUAGAUAUGCCACAGAACGCCGAUAGCGGAGGCGGCUCGCCAGGCCUGCAUUGACGCUCGGGCACGAAAGCGUGGGGAUCGAACAGGAUUAGAUCCCCGGGUAGUCCACGCCGUAAACGAUGGGCGCUCGUCGUCGGCGGCAGACAGUCGGCGGCCAAGCGAAAGCGAUAAGCGCCCCACCUGGGGAGUACGGUCGCAAGGCUGAAACUCAAAUGAAUUGACGGGG
This 393-nucleotide ribosomal RNA is filed under the name uncultured bacterium. RNAcentral describes it as "partial 16S ribosomal RNA". It matches the Rfam family "Bacterial small subunit ribosomal RNA", at positions 523 to 918 of the family's 1533-position model. The record is from RNAcentral.